Molecule: small nucleolar RNA, 77 nt
Organism: Cynocephalus volans (Philippine flying lemur)
Lineage: Eukaryota; Metazoa; Chordata; Mammalia; Dermoptera; Cynocephalidae
Product: small nucleolar RNA SNORD83
Exons: 1
Source: RefSeq, a predicted model, not a curated record
GCCAAAUGAUGCUUAUUUGAUACAGGAACACUUCUGUGAAAGGAUUACUCUUGAUCUGUCACCCAUGACUGAUGGCU